This is a long non-coding RNA of Choloepus didactylus (southern two-toed sloth), 579 nucleotides long. RefSeq lists it as uncharacterized. The transcript is spliced from 3 exons. NCBI's taxonomy places the organism in Eukaryota, Metazoa, Chordata, Mammalia, Pilosa, Megalonychidae. The record is from RefSeq and is a predicted model, not a curated record.
UGGACAGAAACCGGCUCCCACCCUCUGCACCUCUAGCCUGCUACCCUCAGUGCCGCAUCCAGUUUAAGAACCCAAGCACAGAAAACAAACCCACUUGCAUGAUUUGGUUAAUCUCUGCCAGUAGCCGUGUUGUUGGCCUCUGGAUCCAAAGAGAAGGUUGAUGCUGCCCUUGGGACCAGGCGUGUUAGACGUGGGCUAUCAAUGUCCGAUUUCCUCCUGCUUUCGAUUGCGGAGCCUCAGUUGUAUUUGGGCAGCAACUACCUACAGGAAUAACACUUGUAGUUUCGGUCAGAUUCAUUCAGCUUCUGGCUCUUUCAUCGCACCAAAGCAAUUGGCAUUGCAGCUGUUUGCUCGUGGUGCUAUUCCCAGCGUAACCUAUGAGGGAAAGAAGCUGUUUCCACCUCAGAUACUAGCCGGGCGUUCUGAAGCUGCCUGUGUUCCUCAGUCCUGCUUUAAGAAAGGAAGAUUGGACACCUCGACGACUGGGGCCAAAGAACUCUCCUUCAUUCCCAUCCCGUCCCCCUCGAGUUUGCAUUCCCUUUGCAAUAAUCCCUUUUACAAAGACUUCUGUUCAAAUAA